RNAcentral lists this transfer RNA (71 nucleotides) under Myotis davidii. It matches the Rfam family "tRNA". From Rfam's summary of the family: Transfer RNA (tRNA) molecules are approximately 80 nucleotides in length. Lineage: Eukaryota; Metazoa; Chordata; Mammalia; Chiroptera; Vespertilionidae. The record is from Rfam by way of RNAcentral.
GCCAGCAUGGCUCAGUGGUUGAACAUCCAUCUAUGAAAUGAGAGAUCAGGGUUCGAUUCCCUGUCAGGGCA